ACAUGCGCACUAAGAGGCAAAAUGGCAGUCUUUAACUGUUGACAUGACCUCCUUGGAACAUUCAGACUGGUAAGGGAAAAGCACCUCAGAGAACUACCUGUAAUUUGAGCGAAAAAAAUCUUCUUUUGGAAACUCCUUAAGAUAUAGUCUGCCUUACUGCACGCUAUUGAGGCAGCGGUGUAUGUGCAGUGCCUAUUACUCCAUCUUGACAAGAAAUGGAAGAACUCACCAUUGUCUUUUGAUAUUUUAAACUGCAUUACUUUCAUAUAUUAUCUCACUUAUUUUUAUAUUUUAAUGGAAAUAUCUACUCAGCAUGAUAAAACAGUUUUGUUUUUCUCAUAUUGCCAGAAGGAAUACACAGUUUCUUUAAUAUGAAAGGCAAUUUUAUACAUCCGCACAAAGAGUAACACUUCAUUCAUAGUAUGCUACACGUAUAGGAAGGUUGGUGAAUAUCUGCAGUUUGUACUUUCGAGUUGAUUUUUUUUUUUUUAGUUUUUAAUUUUGGGUUAUUUUCUCUUUAAUUUAACUUCUAUGUAUUUGUAAACUAAGUGAUAAUUUUUGACAUAUAUUCAAGACUUAAGUAAUAUUCCAUUAAAUCACCCACAUAGCUUCCCAA
Molecule: long non-coding RNA, 616 nt
Filed under: Homo sapiens (human)
Lineage: Eukaryota; Metazoa; Chordata; Mammalia; Primates; Hominidae
Description: long intergenic non-protein coding RNA 2262
Source: RNAcentral